This 491-nucleotide ribosomal RNA is filed under the name uncultured bacterium. Its description in RNAcentral is "partial 16S ribosomal RNA". It matches the Rfam family "Bacterial small subunit ribosomal RNA", at positions 28 to 507 of the family's 1533-position model. The record is from RNAcentral.
GAUGAACGCUGGCUACAGGCUUAACACAUGCAAGUCGAGGGGAAACGACGGGGAAGCUUGCUUCCCCGGGCGUCGACCGGCGCACGGGUGAGUAACGCGUAUCCAACCUGCCUCUGACUGAGGGAUAACCCGUCGAAAGUCGGCCUAAUACCUCAUGGCAUCGUCUGCGGGCAUCCAACGACGAUUAAAGAUUUCAUCGGUCAGGGAUGGGGAUGCGUCUGAUUAGCUAGUUGGCGGGGUAACGGCCCACCAAGGCGACGAUCAGUAGGGGUUCUGAGAGGAAGGUCCCCCACAUUGGAACUGAGACACGGUCCAAACUCCUACGGGAGGCAGCAGUGAGGAAGAUUGGUCAAUGGGCGAGAGCCUGAACCAGCCAAGUAGCGUGCAGGAUGACGGCCCUAUGGGUUGUAAACUGCUUUUAUGCGGGGAUAAAGUGAGGGACGUGUCCUUCAUUGCAGGUACCGCAUGAAUAAGGACCGGCUAAUUCCGUG